Molecule: ribosomal RNA, 625 nt
Filed under: Bacillus sp. 02Co-3
Lineage: Bacteria; Bacillati; Bacillota; Bacilli; Caryophanales; Bacillaceae
Description: bacterial SSU rRNA
Rfam family: Bacterial small subunit ribosomal RNA
Source: RNAcentral
AGCAACGCCGCGUGAGUGAUGAAGGUUUUCGGAUCGUAAAGCUCUGUUGUUAGGGAAGAACAAGUGCAAGAGUAACUGCUUGCACCUUGACGGUACCUAACCAGAAAGCCACGGCUAACUACGUGCCAGCAGCCGCGGUAAUACGUAGGUGGCAAGCGUUGUCCGGAAUUAUUGGGCGUAAAGGGCUCGCAGGCGGUUUCUUAAGUCUGAUGUGAAAGCCCCCGGCUCAACCGGGGAGGGUCAUUGGAAACUGGGAAACUUGAGUGCAGAAGAGGAGAGUGGAAUUCCACGUGUAGCGGUGAAAUGCGUAGAGAUGUGGAGGAACACCAGUGGCGAAGGCGACUCUCUGGUCUGUAACUGACGCUGAGGAGCGAAAGCGUGGGGAGCGAACAGGAUUAGAUACCCUGGUAGUCCACGCCGUAAACGAUGAGUGCUAAGUGUUAGGGGGUUUCCGCCCCUUAGUGCUGCAGCUAACGCAUUAAGCACUCCGCCUGGGGGAGUACGGUCGCAAGACUGAAACUCAAAGGAAUUGACGGGGGCCCGCACAAGCGGUGGAGCAUGUGGUUUAAUUCGAAGCAGCGCGAAGAACCUUACCAGGUCUUGACAUCCUCUGACAACCCUAGAG